CUUCCCAGUGGUUUACUGCUCUAGUCUUGCAAUGAUCUGAGCAGUUAUUACACAUGGGAUAGAGUGACAUGGGGCCUUUGUAUACGGGGGUGAAGUAACCUUUUCAUCCCCUCUGCAUGGGCUCCACAUCC
This is a small nucleolar RNA of Suncus etruscus (white-toothed pygmy shrew), 131 nucleotides long. RefSeq annotates it as small nucleolar RNA SNORA20. NCBI's taxonomy places the organism in Eukaryota, Metazoa, Chordata, Mammalia, Eulipotyphla, Soricidae. The record is from RefSeq and is a predicted model, not a curated record. The transcript has a single exon.